ACGACUGCUGCUAAGACUGGAUAGGAAGAUAAAAGGCAUCUUGUAUCUUUUAAAAGACCUAGUUAAUAGGUAUGCUUUAGGAGGGGCUUGCGCCAUAUUAGUUAGUUGGUAGGGUAAUGGCCUACCAAGACGAUGAUGUGUAGCUGGACUGAGAGGUUGAACAGCCACAUUGGGACUGAGACACGGCCCAAACUCCUACGGGAGGCAGCAGUAGGGAAUUUUCGGCAAUGGAGGAAACUCUGACCGAGCAACGCCGCGUGAAUGACGAAGUACUUCGGUAUGUAAAGUUCUUUUAUCGAGGAAGAAAAGCAAAUGGCGAACCAUUUGUUUGCCGGUACUUGAUGAAUAAGCCCCGGCUAAUUAUGUGCCAGCAGCCGCGGUAAGACAUAAGGGGCAAGUGUUAUCCGGAAUUAUUGGGCGUAAAGGGUGCGUAGGCGGUCUAGUAAGUCAGUGGUGUAAUGUCAACGCUUAACGUUGUCCGGCUAUUGAAACUGCUAAACUUGAGUUAGAUAGAGGCGAGUGGAAUUCCAUGUGUAGCGGUAAAAUGCGUAAAUAUAUGGAGGAACACCAGAGGCGUAGGCGGCUCGCUGGGUCUUAACUGACGCUGAGGCACGAAAGCGUGGGGAGCAAACAGGAUUAGAUACCCUGGUAGUCCACGCCGUAAACGAUGAGUACUAAGUGUCGGGUUAAACCGGUACUGAAGUUAACACAUUAAGUACUCCGCCUGAGUAGUACGUACGCAAGUAUGAAACUUAAAGGAAUUGACGGGACUCCGCACAAGCGGUGGAUCAUGUUGUUUAAUUCGAAGAUACCCGAAAAACCUUACCAGGUCUUGACAUGUUUUUGCAAAAUGAUAGUAAUAUCGUGGAGGUUACCAGAAACACAGGUGGUGCAUGGUUGUCGUCAGCUCGUGUCGUGAGAUGUUAGGUUAAGUCCUAAAACGAGCGAAACCCUUAUCGUUAGUUGCCAGCACGUUAUGGUGGGGACUUUAACGAGACUGCCAAUGAUAAAUUGGAGGAAGGUGAGGAUCACGUCAAAUCAGCAUGCCCCUUAUGACCUGGGCUACAAACGUGAUACAAUGGCUGUUACAAAGGGUAGCUGAAACGCAAGUUCUUGGCCAAUCCCCAAAAACAGUCCCAGUCCGGAUUGAAGUCUGCAACUCGACUUCAUGAAGUUGGAAUCGCUAGUAAUCGCGAAUCAGCAUGUCGCGGUGAAUACGUUUACGGGGUUUGUACACACCGCCCGUCA
This 1248-nucleotide ribosomal RNA is filed under the name Candidatus Phytoplasma citri. RNAcentral describes it as "bacterial SSU rRNA". It matches the Rfam family "Bacterial small subunit ribosomal RNA", at positions 153 to 1399 of the family's 1533-position model. Lineage: Bacteria; Bacillati; Mycoplasmatota; Mollicutes; Acholeplasmatales; Acholeplasmataceae. The record is from RNAcentral.